UCCCUAGUAGCUCAGUGGUAAAGAAUCUGCCUGAUAUUCAGGAAACCUGGGUUCAAUUCCUGGGUUGGGAA
RNAcentral lists this transfer RNA (71 nucleotides) under Ovis aries (sheep). It matches the Rfam family "tRNA". Rfam says of the family: Transfer RNA (tRNA) molecules are approximately 80 nucleotides in length. Their secondary structure includes four short double-helical elements and three loops (D, anti-codon, and T loops). Further hydrogen bonds mediate the characteristic L-shaped molecular structure. tRNAs have two regions of fundamental functional importance: the anti-codon, which is responsible for specific mRNA codon recognition, and the 3' end, to which the tRNAs corresponding amino acid is attached (by aminoacyl-tRNA synthetases). tRNAs cope with the degeneracy of the genetic code in two manners: having more than one tRNA (with a specific anti-codon) for a particular amino acid; and 'wobble' base-pairing, i.e. permitting non-standard base-pairing at the 3rd anti-codon position. The record is from Rfam by way of RNAcentral. Lineage: Eukaryota; Metazoa; Chordata; Mammalia; Artiodactyla; Bovidae.